ACGAACGCUGGCGGCGUGCUUAACACAUGCAAGUCGAACGGAAAGGCCCUGCUUUUGUGGGGUGCUCAAGUGGCGAACGGGUGAGUAACACGUGAGUAACCUGCCCUUGACUUUGGGAUAACUUCAGGAAACUGGGGCUAAUACCGGAUAGGAGCUCCUGCUGCAUGGUGGGGGUUGGAAAGUUUCGGCGGUUGGGGAUGGACUCGCGGCUUAUCAGCUUGUUGGUGGGGUAGUGGCUUACCAAGGCUUUGACGGGUAGCCGGCCUGAGAGGGUGACCGGCCACAUUGGGACUGAGGUACGGCCCAGACUCCUACGGGAGGCAGCAGUGGGGAAUAUUGCACAAUGGGCGGAAGCCUGAUGCAGCAACGCCGCGUGCGGGAUGACGGCCUUCGGGUUGUAAACCGCUUUCGCCUGUGACGAAGCGUGAGUGACGGUAAUGGGUAAAGAAGCACCGGCUAACUACGUG
Molecule: ribosomal RNA, 467 nt
Filed under: uncultured bacterium
Lineage: Bacteria
Description: partial 16S ribosomal RNA
Rfam family: Bacterial small subunit ribosomal RNA
Source: RNAcentral